This 773-nucleotide ribosomal RNA is filed under the name uncultured bacterium. RNAcentral's name for it is "bacterial SSU rRNA". It matches the Rfam family "Bacterial small subunit ribosomal RNA", at positions 8 to 798 of the family's 1533-position model. The record is from RNAcentral.
AGAGUUUGAUCAUGGCUCAGGACGAACGCUGGCGGCGUGCUUAACACAUGCAAGUCGAACGGAAAGGCCCUUCGGGGUACUCGAGUGGCGAACGGGUGAGUAACACGUGGGUGAUCUGCCCUGCACUCUGGGAUAAGCCUGGGAAACUGGGUCUAAUACCGGAUAGGACCGCAUGCUUCAUGGUGUGUGGUGCAAAGCUUUUGCGGUGUGGGAUGAGCCCGCGGCCUAUCAGCUUGUUGGUGGGGUAAUGGCCUACCAAGGCGACGACGGGUAGCCGGCCUGAGAGGGUGACCGGCCACACUAGGACUGAGAUACGGCCCAGACUCCUACGGGAGGCAGCAGUGGGGAAUAUUGCACAAUGGGCGCAAGCCUGAUGCAGCGACGCCGCGUGAGGGAUGACGGCCUUCGGGUUGUAAACCUCUUUCAGUAGGGACGAAGCGAAAGUGACGGUACCUACAGAAGAAGGACCGGCCAACUACGUGCCAGCAGCCGCGGUAAUACGUAGGGUCCGAGCGUUGUCCGGAAUUACUGGGCGUAAAGAGCUCGUAGGUGGUUUGUCGCGUUGUUCGUGAAAACUCACAGCUUAACUGUGGGCGUGCGGGCGAUACGGGCAGACUAGAGUACUGCAGGGGAGACUGGAAUUCCUGGUGUAGCGGUGGAAUGCGCAGAUAUCAGGAGGAACACCGGUGGCGAAGGCGGGUCUCUGGGCAGUAACUGACGCUGAGGAGCGAAAGCGUGGGUAGCGAACAGGAUUAGAUACCCCGGUAGUCCAA